RNAcentral lists this ribosomal RNA (447 nucleotides) under uncultured bacterium. Its description in RNAcentral is "bacterial SSU rRNA". It matches the Rfam family "Bacterial small subunit ribosomal RNA", at positions 355 to 825 of the family's 1533-position model. The record is from RNAcentral.
UAACGAAUCUUCCGCAAUGGGCGCAAGCCUGACGGAGCAAUGCCGCGUGCGGGAUGAAGUACCUCUGGUAUGUAAACCGCUGUCGGAGGGUAGAACCAAUGAUCACCCCCAAAGGAAGUGGCGACUAACUCUGUGCCAGCAGUCGCGGUAAUACAGAGGCCACAAGCGUUAGUCGGAAUCACUGGGCUUAAAGGGUGCGUAGGCUGGCUCGUAAGUGUUCUGUGAAAGCCCCCGGCUCAACCGGGGAACAGCAGGGCAUACUGCGGGUCUUGAGGCAGGUAGGGGUCGCGAGAACAGUAGGUGGAGCGGUGAAAUGCGUAGAUAUCUACUGGAAUGCCGAUGGUGAAGACGCGCGACUGGGCCUGUCCUGACGCUGAGGCACGAAAGCGUGGGGAGCAAACAGGAUUAGAUACCCUUGUAGUCCCUGAGCGGGCUGGCAAGGCGCAU